AACGAACGCUGGCGGCAUGCCUAACACAUGCAAGUCGAACGAGACCUUCGGGUCGAGUGGCGCACGGGUGCGUAACGCGUGGGAACCUGCCCUUAGGUUCGGAAUAACUCCCCGAAAGGGGUGCUAAUACCGGAUAAUGUCUUCGGACCAAAUAUUUAUCGCCUUUGGAUGGGGCCGCGUUGGAAUAGCUGGUUGGUAGGGUAAAAGCCUACCAAAGCGACGACCCAUAGCCGGUCUGAGAGGAUGAGCAGCCACACUGGGACUGAGACACGGCCCAGACUCCUGCGGGAGGCAGCAGUGGGGGAUGUUGGAAAGUGGGCGAGAGCCUGAUCCAGCGAUGCCGCGUGAGUAAUGAAGGCCUUAGGGUUGUAAAGCUCUUUUACCCGGGAUGAUAAUGACAUUACCGGGAGAAUAAGCUCCGGCUAACUCCGUG
Molecule: ribosomal RNA, 433 nt
Filed under: uncultured bacterium
Lineage: Bacteria
Description: partial 16S ribosomal RNA
Rfam family: Bacterial small subunit ribosomal RNA
Source: RNAcentral